This 84-nucleotide transfer RNA is filed under the name Candidatus Cybelea sp. RNAcentral describes it as "tRNA-Leu". It matches the Rfam family "tRNA". Rfam says of the family: Transfer RNA (tRNA) molecules are approximately 80 nucleotides in length. Their secondary structure includes four short double-helical elements and three loops (D, anti-codon, and T loops). RNAcentral also lists the same sequence under 1 other name. Lineage: Bacteria; Bacillati; Vulcanimicrobiota; Vulcanimicrobiia; Vulcanimicrobiales; Vulcanimicrobiaceae. The record is from RNAcentral.
GCGCAAGUGGCGGAAUUGGUAGACGCACUAGCUUGAGGGGCUAGCGGGAGCAAUCUCGUGGAGGUUCGAGUCCUCUCUUGCGCA